This 46-nucleotide non-coding RNA is filed under the name unclassified sequences. The record is from Rfam.
UACAUUUGCCGCCGUACAUAAAAAUCAUUAAAACAAUAUUGGAAUG